AGAAAGGGGAGGAGAAGUGGGAGUAGGAGGGCAAAACAAAACAAAAUAAAACAAACAACAAACACUAAGGCAGAGAGGGACACAGGACCUGGAGAUGGGGCCUGAAGAAACAGCCUGCCAGGCUGUUCAUAUUUCCUGAGAGCUUCCAUGAGGAAGAGGGGCAGCUGCAGGCCAGGAGGCCUGUAGAGGAGUCAGCAGGUCUGACAAGGAGUGCCUUGGGUGGAGACUCCCUGGGGCUAAUUUUGGUGUCACCACUGACUUCCUUUAGGGUGCUGAGCCUUGGGUUCCUCAUGUUUUGGUAGUAUUUGGGUGCUGUCCUUCCAUAGACACAUCAACAAGUUCUCCUCCAGAUUACAUUUUUACCUGCCUCUUCCUUUUCUGAGUAACCCUAUGGAACAAGAACUCCUGACCCAGCACUCCAAGAAGCCAAACACAAAACCAUCCCCCGUCUUUGCUAUUGUAUUACCUCUGGUUCCCUCCCACAGCCUCAUUCAUUCAUUCAACAUUUUUGGGAACCCUGGCCACAUUCUAGGCUCUAUGCCAGGUGCUGGAGUCUCACAUGUAGUCCCUGCCAUCUGGUAAUUAGUGAUGCUAGUGAGUGUCCAAGGAACUGAUCGUUAAAGAAGAACACAUGCUGGAAGAAAGAGAGGAAAGUCGAGCAGAAGAGAGGUGGACUAGCUUGGCCUGGGGUGGGCAGACGGCUUCCUGUAGGAGGUGGCAUUUCAGCUGGGUGGCAUUUACAGGAAGCCAAAGGUGCAGGCAGAUGCACAAGGAGGAAGUGAUUCUCACCCAGGCAAGGAGCACCAUAGGACAGGUUCAUAUAGUGACAUGGGCUGGAAGCUUUAGAGUAAGAGGACUUGAGGUGUAGUCCCAGCUCUGCAGGGCCAUAUAUAUGUCCCUGAGCAAUGCAGAAUAAUCUCGUAGAUGCUGCAAACCCAAGGGAGGUGUAGGUGAGGAUGUAAAUGAGGAUUGUGGAACCCAUUUGUUCCUGGGACAAUGUCGGGGACUUAUGGGAGAAGGACUGUGUUUCCCAUUGUCUAUCCUUUGGGGCUUUGACAUUUCUCACCUGACAGCCCUUUACAGAGUAAAAGCCUCAGUGAUUCUAAUCAUGCUUGGUGAACACUUUGGGGCAGUUGCCUCAUUGGACCCUUAGAAACCCAGGUCACAGAAACACCAUCACUUUUCUGAGAUUCGAAGUCCUCCCUCUCCAGGUAAGUUGGCCUUGAAACCAGGAAUCAGCCAGCCCUGGGACUUUUGCCCUGUUCCAGGCCAAGGGAUCUGUACCUUUCUCCCAAACUGCUGGUGGCUCCAGGAAGAAAUCGAGUGUAGCUGACUUUAAGCAGUUAAACAUCAAAUGCAUUCAUCCCAAGUCUAGGCAUAUACCUAGAAGGAGUGACUCUUAAAUUUGGUCAUUUCAUUGUGUAAAAUUGAGGUUGUGGCUUAACACAUGAAAGCCAGCAUGGGAUGCCGAUUUUUUGUGUUGUAUUCUUUUGGGCAAUCUCAAAGUUCCAGGCAGCCUGACCUUCCUGAGCCUGUGUUCCCUUCCCUCCCCUCCCUGGCUUUUCAUUUCAUCUACAACAGAUGUCAGCAGAGGCCCUGAGUGUUUCCCAGGCCACUCAAGCAGAAAUCCAUUCUGCUCACAAGGUGAGGAGAGCCAGGAGCUCACAAAGGCUCCUCGUCUCCUUCCCCAGGAGGUUCAAGAUAGGGCAUCCCCAGGACAGACCUGCCCUGGGGACCCCGGAACACAAGGCAGGCACUGAGAAGCAGGAGUGCCUGGGCAGGGAGGUUUUCAUAUCCUCCAGGUUUAAUAGCUUUCCCUGAGAUGGAAACUUGGGUUGAAAUGAUUUGCAGCUUUCCAGAUUUUCUGAGUGUGUGUCUUUGGGUUUAUUUUUAGCCACAGGCGUUCAUUUCUUGCCAAAAAAACCUGCUUAAAUAAAACCAAGAUUAAUAUUUUUACUUAACGGAAAGAGUUAGUCAGGACAGGCUUUGAACUGGGACUCCUUAUCUUGAUGGGGAGUGCAUAUUAAUGGUCUGGCCUUGGCUUUGACAUCAACAAAAAGGGCCUUUGAAAUGGACAAGAGAGAACGGCCCUGGGGGAUCAGGGUAGGAUGCAGGAAGAGCUUAUUUGUGGGACUUUUCUGGAGAGCGGAGAGUUCCUCUUCACUCAGGCCGCUCGCUGCUCCCUGCCCCCAGCCCCAGGCCCCGUGGUCUUGCGGUGGGAAGGGGGAGUCAUCAUUUUCCUGGAAAGGCAGGAUAUCUGCUCUGGCUUUGCUCAGAGCCCAGCUGUGAUUCUGCCUCAUUUCCAGAUGCUCUCUUUACCUCCCCCUACCCAGAUCAGGUCUAGACUUCUACCUUAAACUGAGUCAAACAGAGCAAACUGAGUCUCUUCUGCAGGAUGGGCUGAGGCUCAGAUGUGAUGCCAUCUCUGGGGUGCGUUCCUGACACCCCUCCCCUGAGACAGACUUCAUGUCCUCUUGGCUCUGUCCUGGAUUUCCAUCCUGACUUAUAUUGCUGAGCCUGCCUUUCUUGAGUGUUAUUGCCGGUCUCUCUUACCUCUGGCUCUUGAGUUCCUAGGAGGCUUAUGUAUCUCCAUAUCCCUAUAUACUUCUAGCACAAUACUCAAACACCUUCCUGGUUGCUGAACAGUUGUUAUCUGACCCUAUGAACCGAGAACUGCUAUUAUCCCCUUUUGAUAGAAUAAGAAUCUACAAGUAAUCAUCAUCAGCAAUAUAACAGUGUAUCAUCUGUCUAGCUUCAGGGUUACAAAGUACCUUUGUACGUAUACAUUGUCUCAUUUAAUUAAUCAGUCUAAUUAACCUCAGACUCCCAGUGUUGGGAGAAACCUUAGGGUGAGUGUGGUUUUGUGGUUUCUAAGUUAUUUGUUUUUCUUCCAUGAAAGCCUUGCUGGAGAACACAAAAGGCUAACUGAUGAUAUGAUAUAUUGUUAUAUUGCUGAUGGCAAUUACUUCUAGAUUUUUAUUACUAAUCAGAGGACGUGUGUGUGUGUGUGUGUGUGUGUGUGUGUGUGUGUGUAAGUGAUUGGGAAGGGUGGUAGGUGGGUGAUGAAAGGAAUCUGGAGCUCGCUGGGAGCUUAUCAAGGGUCCUUCCUUUUAGGUAUAAGUCUUCUUCUCUGAUCCUCUGCAGUGAAAGUGGGGUGAUGCAGUAAAAUUAUGAACUAUUUUGCAACAAGUGUGAAUCCCUUGUAAAGGUUUUAAGGUGGUCUGCUGUCCUGGGGGACCUCUCUUCUUUUUUUUUUUUCCACUAGGAUUCAAAACUCCUUGCAGGCUACCUGAUCUCCAUUUUCACAGUUGGAAAAUAGGGACAUUAAUAGCCACAACAGUAGCCACUUUACCCGGUUACCAUGAGGACAGAGUGGAAGAACCAUGCACACAUUGCUUGGCACCUAGGAGGCAUAGGAUAAAUAGUAGUGGUUGUUAUCAGUAUGUUCUAGUUCCUUUACCUCUCCUCUAGAUUCACUGAUGUGAUGCUAAGAAAAGCAAGCAGUUCGUAGUUCUUGAAUGGGUGGGCAGCUGGAAGAGUGAGAGAGCCUGGCUCUGCCCUCCUGGGCAGGCUACAAUGUGGAGUGUCCAAGGUGGGCAGGAAAAAGACUGGCUUGGUGGGCUCCAGGCCAGCCUCCCUGUGGGGCCCUGACUUAAUUGCCUUUGCCAGGAGCACUCUGGCAUCAGCAAGACCCCUCCUUUUGUCAUCCUGUGGGAGAUGAUAAAAUAAACAUGAAGGGGCUAUGAGACAAGCUGGGUGACGGAGAUCCCUCUUUCCUCGUUUUUGGUGUGCUUUCAUGGGGUGGGCAUCAUUCUAACACUUCCAGAUCCCUCUUUUCCUCCAAGUUGAUGCCCAAAAUUUGGGCCCAUGGUCCAGGCUUUUCUUUUUACCUAGAACCUGCCUGCUGGGUUCCCGUGAGAAGAGCAGCCCCUUCCCUAGGGUUGACACUAACAGGGACUUCUGCUUUUGGAGAAAUGCAGUCUACCUGCUAACCAGAUGUGCCUUACUUAUCCUUGCUCUCCUUCUAGAAACCAUGCCUUAAACCAGCAAAAUCAUUCUACAGGGCCUAAGGGAGAGACAGGAAUGGGUGUGUGUGUGUGUGUGUGUGUGUGUGUGUGUGUGUGUGUGUGAUGUGGUGUGAAUCAACUCCUAAUUCAUGGAGAGGAUUUGUAAUGCUCUUCCCUUGAUGCUACCAUGGGCGGAACUCAGAGUCCUAAGUUAGUAUGCAUUAAUUAGUUAAGGAGUCCUUGAUCCUCAGACCAGCCAAAUGGGUAGCAUUGUUGCUUGUUGCUUGGCUUUCUAGCCUGCCAGCAGGAAAAUCCAACCAUCAGUUCAGGGGGAAAAAGGAUCUAGGUUCGGUUGAUGAUGGUUGGAUGGGGGAUGGAAGCAGAGAGAGAAAGGGAGGGCAGCUCAAGGGUGUCUUCCCCCACUCUGAAUAUGCUUAUGAACAGCACGUUUGCAAUUUCUGGAGACAUACUAGUAAGCUGUGCUGGAAACUCAAUCCCAAUUGCCGUUGGAAAAUUGUUCUUUGUUCAAAACUUGUGCCACUGUGGUCCACAUUGCUAGAGCUAGAGGUGGGGAGAGGCAGCAUGAAGUUAUAUUUAUGGAAGAUGUGUGCCUUGUUUGCCUUGCUUUUGUAAGCUCUUACUAGCACUCUCCCCCAAACAAAUAUUCAAAGGAAGCAAAGACAGUUCAAUAGAGAUAUACUUUUAUGCCUGGCUUCUCAGGUGC
This is a long non-coding RNA of Sapajus apella (tufted capuchin), 4731 nucleotides long. RefSeq lists it as uncharacterized. The transcript has 2 exons. The record is from RefSeq and is a predicted model, not a curated record. NCBI's taxonomy places the organism in Eukaryota, Metazoa, Chordata, Mammalia, Primates, Cebidae.